AGCUAGCCAGUGAUGGCAUGCGAAUCUCGAAAGCCUAUCUCAGUUCGGAUUGGAGGCUGAAACCCGCCUCCAUGAAGUUGGAUUCGCUAGUAAUCGCGCAUCAGCCAUGGCGCGGUGAAUACGUUCCCGGGCCUUGUACACACCGCCCGUCAAGCCAUGGGAGCCGGGGGUGCCUGAAGUUCGUUACCGCAAGGAUCGACCUAGGGCAAAACUGGUGACUGGGGCUAAGUCGUAACAAGGUAUC
Molecule: ribosomal RNA, 244 nt
Filed under: uncultured bacterium
Lineage: Bacteria
Description: partial 16S ribosomal RNA
Rfam family: Bacterial small subunit ribosomal RNA
Source: RNAcentral